CGAACGGGUGAGUAAUGCGUGACCAACCUGCCCCAUGCUCCAGAAUAGCUCUUGGAAACGGGUGGUAAUGCUGGAUGCUCCAACUUGACGCAUGUCUUGUUGGGAAAGUGUUUAGUGGCAUGGGAUGGGGUCGCGUCCUAUCAGCUUGUAGGCGGGGUAAUGGCCCACCUAGGCUUCGACGGGUAGCCGGCCUGAGGGGGCGGACGGCCACAUUGGGACUGAGAUACGGCCCAGACUCCUACGGGAGGCAGCAGAC
This 256-nucleotide ribosomal RNA is filed under the name uncultured Gardnerella sp. Its description in RNAcentral is "partial 16S ribosomal RNA". It matches the Rfam family "Bacterial small subunit ribosomal RNA", at positions 99 to 354 of the family's 1533-position model. Lineage: Bacteria; Bacillati; Actinomycetota; Actinomycetes; Bifidobacteriales; Bifidobacteriaceae. The record is from RNAcentral.